Molecule: long non-coding RNA, 580 nt
Filed under: Brassica napus (rape)
Lineage: Eukaryota; Viridiplantae; Streptophyta; Magnoliopsida; Brassicales; Brassicaceae
Description: long non-coding RNA (BNAP_LNC020039)
Source: RNAcentral
GAGAGUAAAUUAUAAAUUUUAUGAAGGCCAUACAAUGCAAUUUUCCUAGAUAAAAUGAAAGAACACUAACUAAAAAACUACAAAAACAUCAAAAACUUAUGUGAAAAAGACAUGAUCUGCUGAUCAGGUCUUUAAUUUGUUUUAUUCUGUCAACAAAAUCUUUAAGGGAAAUUAACAUUGUAAGUAAUGGUAAUUCUUAGUUUGUUCUAAAAAUACUAUAUGUCAAUGUUAGACCCGAAAAAACACUAAAUGUCAAUGUAUUAAAGUUCUUAAAAAUUUAGUCUUUUCCCACGAUGUAAAAAGUUAAUAUACAUCUAGUGCAUGGAGAAUUUUCAUCUUUACCACAUUGUUAGUAUCAUUAUUCAUGUUUACCUUCACUAAAAAGAUAUUUUCACAAAUAGCUUCUACAUUAAGAGACAAAUACUCUUACUCUAUGCAUAUAUAUAAUAAAAAAAUUAUUUAAAUAAAUGAUAAUAAAAAAAUAACGUUUUAUAGUUUUCGAAUUAUAUGUUUUCAAAUUCGAUCUUUUAUAAAAAAUUUCCAACUUUUUUAAUUUUCCUUUUAAAAUUCGAAUUUUUUU